UAAAAGUUUUAUUUUGGCUUAAAAUUUUAUUAUUGAUUUAUUUUAUAUGUAAGUUUUUGCAUGAAUUUUUGUUUAUUUUAAUAAUUAAUAAUUUUUAUAGUCUCAGUAAUUAAUUUUAUAAAUCAAGGAAACUUGGAAUUAGUAAUUUCAUUUAGUAUUGGUUAAAUUUGUGCCAGCAUCCGCGGUUAUACAAAUAAUACAAAUAAAUUAUUUUUAAUGAAAGUAAUAUAAAAAAUAAAUAUAGAUUUAUUAAGUGAAAUUUUAAAUUUAUUAAAUUUUUAUUUUUAAAUUUUUUAUAAUCUUAUAAAUUUUUAUAAAAACUAGGAUUAGAUACCCUAUUAUUAUAAAUUUAAAUAAAUUCAUUAAGGUAGUAUUAGUUAUGUUCUUGAAACUUAAAAAAUUUGGCGGUAUUUUAGUCUAUUCAGAGGAACCUGUUUUAUAAUUGAUAAUCCACGAUGAACCUUACUUAAAUUUGUUUUCAGUUUAUAUACCGUCGUUAUUAGAAUAUUUUAUUAGAAUAAUAAUUUUCAAAAAUUUUAAUUAAAAUUUAUAUCAGAUCAAGGUGUAGCUUAUAUUUAAGAAAAAAUGGGUUACAAUAAAUUUAUUUUUGAAUUUAAUUAUGAAAUAUUUAAUGAAAUUGGAUUUGAUAGUAAAAUUUUAAAGAUAAAAAAUUUGAUUUUAGCUCUAAAAUAUGCACAUAUCGCCCGUCACUCUUAUUUUUAAAAUAAGAUAAGUCGUAACAUAGUAGAUGUACCGGAAGGUGUCUCUAGAAUGA
This 775-nucleotide non-coding RNA is filed under the name Procecidochares utilis. The record is from RNAcentral. Lineage: Eukaryota; Metazoa; Arthropoda; Insecta; Diptera; Tephritidae.